CGCGCGGAUGAGUCCGGUGCCCGUCUCCAUGGUGCUGAGGCGCGUGUCUCCGAUCUUCAACGCCAGGAUCUGGGCUCCGGGGGCAAUGCCGUUCCGCUCCGGCUCAUCUGGGAAGUGGCCUGCUGCUAUGCUCGCCACAUGUGUCCCAUGAGCCCCUGAACAGAGACAAGACCAUCACGGCUGUACACGUCAAGACGCAGGACAGAUUCCUACAAUACAGGGGAUCUACGUGAACUCUGACCUCCGCUGGUGACGAUGCAGAGAGUGUUUCCUUCGUCGUAGAUGUUAACGGAGUAGUUGAGCAUCUCAGCGUUUCCCAGAGUAGCAAACUCCUGCUUCUCUCUGUAGGAGGUCAGUACCGUGCAGCUGGACAGAUCUCCAGUCUCUGAGGUGUCUACCACAGCCCUGUAGAGGUUAGAGGUCAGUACCUUUAGGGGUUAGAGGUCACAAGGUAGCAGUUUAGGGGUUAGAUGUUACAGGGUAUCAGUUUAGGGGGUAGGGGUUAGAGGUUACGGGGUAUCAGUUUAGGGGGUAGAGGUUACGGGGUAUCAGUUUAGGGGGUAGAGGUUACGGGGUAUCAGUUUAGGGGGUAGAGGUUACGGGGUAUCAGUUUAGGGGGUAGAGGUUACGGGGUAGGGGUUAGAGGUUACGGGGUAUCAGUUUAGGGGUUAGAGGUUACGGGGUAUCAGUUUAGGGGUUAGAGGUUACGGGGUAGGGUUAGAGGUUACGGGGUAGGGUUAGAGGUUACGGGGUAUCAGUUUAGGGGUUAGAGGUUACGGGGUAUCAGUUUAGGGGUUAGAGGUUACGGGGUAGGGAUUAGAGGUUACGGGGUAGGGGUUAGAGGUUACGGGGUAACAGUUUA
This is a long non-coding RNA of Oncorhynchus tshawytscha (Chinook salmon), 862 nucleotides long. Lineage: Eukaryota; Metazoa; Chordata; Actinopteri; Salmoniformes; Salmonidae. The record is from Ensembl.